Molecule: long non-coding RNA, 993 nt
Filed under: Numida meleagris (helmeted guineafowl)
Lineage: Eukaryota; Metazoa; Chordata; Aves; Galliformes; Numididae
Description: lncRNA (ENSNMEG00000020156.1)
Source: RNAcentral
GUGGUUGUGCAAAGCACAUGUUCUCUCACCUAAUAUUUUGAAUUUAAUGAUAACCUGUACAAUUCUUACAUAUAUUGAGAAUAAUGUCUUUCCUAAAGUAGAUAAAUAUAACUGCUUUCUGUGUUGCAGGUGGGCAAAAUGAGCUGCUGAAUGCUUCACUGGUUUGGGCUGAAAAGCCCAGCAGGCCACCUGCACGGAUGUGAUUUGGCUCCUCACUCCACUUGCUGCCCAUCAGCCUUGAGCCCCAUCCAACAGGCCAUGGCUGGGAGGGAGUGUGGGCAGACAGGAGAAGAGGAAGAUUUACGUAAGGGAACAACGGGACGAGUGAAGGAAUUAAUGUAUUAGUUACUCUCUUCUGUUGGAUGCAUCACAAAGUUGGUCAAUGCAAGGAGGAACUGGGAGGAGAAGGAGAAAGAGCUAUGGCUGAAGGCAGCUCAGACAGGAGGCAUAGCUGGGCAAUGAGCAGUGGGAUGUGCUCGGCAGGUUCAGGCCACACAUGAAGUCUGCCCUUCUUGGCUAUUGCUGUCAGUGGAGAAAGACAAACCUUGAAAGAGCUGCAGCUGGAAGGGGACAUGUGAUCCUCUUACACCUAUGUUUGAGCAUGAUGAAAUUAUGGGGUCAAGGACACCUUGCAGAAGAAAUCUCCUGCUGGAAAAGAACUAUCCGUCUGUUCUGCAGGCAGUGAGCAUGAACAUGGGGGACAUGCGGACACCCAGCGUGGCUCAGCUUUUAUUUGGUUUGCACGGUGGAUUUUGCUGUUUUCUGAGGGUGGGAAUGCCGUCUGCUCUGAGGCAGCUGCACCUCCCUAUCCCAGCUGCCACAGCUCAGCUUCACCUCAAAACACAUUCUUGUGCUGGGUGCAGUGCCUCUGUGCUCUUGGAUGGAGAUUGGCUUUUAUCUGCCUCUGUCUGUAUGGCAUCUGCUUCCCUCCGCCUCUUUAAUCCUCUGUAUUUUCCAUAACCUAAAAUAAACAAGUAACAAAUCUGGGAUGCA